UUUUUUCUUUCUUUCUUCUUUUCUCUUUUCUUUUCUUCAGUUUUUCCUCCUCCCUUCAGCCAGCAACCGCCUUAAACCGCCGCGCCCAUUCCCGCCGCAUUCCGUUCCAGCGAACAGGGACGUCCGCCGGCCGCCAUCUCUGUCUUCAUUCGCGAAGCCGCCGCGUGACUGGCGUGUGUCUGACCGUCCGCAGACGCUUCACCAAGGCCGUCGUCGCGGUUCUGUUCGUCCGCUACCCUGCGCCGCUAGGUUUUCGUCCGCUACCGUGAAGCUGCCGUGAACCGAACUAAAGACCCCAGAUCCAACUUUCUGCGCGUUGAGUUCCUUCUUCAUCCUGUCACAGGUAGCAAACCCACGCCAUUCGAUUGGGUUGUUCGCUAUCGUUCCUGCUUUGCCACGAGUCAUCAAAUUUUGGUUGGCAAAAGUAACAAAGACGGCAAACCGACGAGGGGCAGGAAGGAAGCGUGAUCGUCAUAGGGGACACUUUAAAUUCGCUUCCGCUUAGUGAUUUACCGUAUUGUUUUGUUUUCGUACUUAAAGACUGUUUAGAAAAUUUGAGAUUUAACUCUA
Molecule: long non-coding RNA, 570 nt
Organism: Cucumis sativus (cucumber)
Lineage: Eukaryota; Viridiplantae; Streptophyta; Magnoliopsida; Cucurbitales; Cucurbitaceae
Exons: 2
Source: RefSeq, a predicted model, not a curated record